This is a long non-coding RNA of Myotis davidii, 2277 nucleotides long. RefSeq lists it as uncharacterized. The record is from RefSeq and is a predicted model, not a curated record. Lineage: Eukaryota; Metazoa; Chordata; Mammalia; Chiroptera; Vespertilionidae. The transcript has 3 exons.
AAAUUUGCCUCUUACAAUAACUGACAGUCUUCCGUCUCCCACAUCCAGAGAAUGUUUCCUUUGGUUCGGCUGAUCGUGUCACGUUCCUUGAUGUUAUAGAAAGGUGAAGACCGGGCUUAAAGUGAAACCUCUGACUACAUUUUGCUGCACCCUGACAUUGACUAACAGAGGGACGCCACGGCUCAGCUGCCAGGUGGCUGUCCCCACAUGCAUCCUGAGGGCAGGCCAGCUGCGGCUCAGACGUCCUUGCUUCCUUCCCCAGCCUGUGGACUGGAGCCCAGCUGAGGGUCAGGCUUUGCUCACAGACCGGCCACUCAACCGCAGCCUUGCUCAACCCCCCGGCCACCACGGCUCCUGCGUGUGGAAGGUGCUGCUGAACAUCGUGCGGUUAUAAAUCCUCGGCAACUCAGAUUCCUGGCUUUCAGCUUAACGAUAAUCACCUGUACUCCACGCCUUCUAAAAUGCCAGGCACCAGGCUCAUCCCAUCACAAACACCCUCCUGCCAUCCUCAGAACAGCAGGAGGUAGGUACUGUGAUUUCUCCCAUUUUCAGAUGAGCAGACAGCCUUAGAGAGGCUAAGCUGCUUCCCCGUGGUCCUGUGAAAUGAGUGCACCCCUAACCACUGGGACACACCACCUCUGACAGCGGCUGACUGAGCCCACCCACAAGCCCGGCCCUGGCCAUGCCGCUCACAGCAGGAAGCCAGCCUUCCCUGAGAAGUUAUGAGGAUCCUGUGUUUCCUGCAGAGCUGAGGGGCUGUUCUUCCACAUCCAAGUCCAAGCGUGUGCCAGGGCUGGAGCGCUGGGCGGCCCUCACGGGUCUGUCCCUAACGAGAUCUCAGGAGAACCCCGGCCCUCACUGGGGAGAGGCCCCAGGGAGAGGCCCACAUGGGCCUGAGGGUCAUCUGUGCUGGGGCUACCACUUACAGGAGCCGUGCUGUCCACGGGGGACCCCGAAGCGCUCAAGAAUGAGAAGGCUAGACCUCUGGAAGCCUCCAGGCUGGGCGAGGACAUCCUCUUGAAGAGGCACCAGUGUGACAUGAUGGUGGACAGUUCCCUCUGGGCACUCAGGGCCCAGCAUCCCACAGACCAGAUCCUGAAGUGGCAGCCCUGUGUGUGGAGGGCAGCGGGAAGCAGCUCGCACCUGCUCGGGCAGGAGCAGCACGGUUCAUCUUACCCCUUUGAGGACCUGCUUCCAAGAAACACAAAAAGAAACAUUCUGAGGACUGGGUAUUUUUCCACUUGGCAAACGUCUGUGAUUUGUAGGACACAUGGUACUCUGUCCCGACUCUGGUCCUUUCCUUCUUCCUCCACCCACGAUCCUGUCCGCCUGGCUCAGGCCGAGGGCCCAGGUCAGCUGCACACUCAGCUCUGGGCCUGUGUCCCUCAAUGGGAGGACCAUGGAGAGCGCAAGGAGAGGGGCCGCCCAGCUGCCACCAGAGCCAGCAAAGUUUCUCGAAAAGCAAACGUCCACCUUGGUUUCUCUGGAGCCAGUAGGUGUCAGACGGACCUGAGUGGGCAUGUUUCCUGGUUUUGCAGCGUGUCCGCAGAGUAGGGGAUGCGCAGGGCAAAGCCACCCGCCACCCUGGCCACAGAAUGAAGUUUCUGUGGCUCUCACCAGCUGGGGCCCAACAGCCACCAGCAUCCUCCUAAAAGAAGCUAGAAUUUUUUAAAAAAUCUAGUUUGAAGGGGUCCUUGAGACUGUCCUCAGAGACAAUUUGCAAAUUAGGAAACCCAAAAGAAAAAAGAGAGAGAGCGGGAAGAGGUUAUUUAAAAAAUGUAUUCAAGCAGCAUUUGUUUAUUUACAAAGUACAUGCUAUAAUCAUUAGUGCUGGGUCACUAGAAGGUUUACAGAGAUUAGUUAUAUUUAGUCCUUACCCUCAGGGACCUAUCAGGAGAAUCACCCCCAAAAGGGCUUCAUCCCAUCUAGUGUUUCUGUCCAUAAUUUUUAGGUCUGCUUUGCUUUGGCAGAAGUGACUCAGCUAACAAUUGGGCUGAAGACAUUUGAAAUUAGAGUUAGUGUAGCCAAUCUGAGUUCAGCCCAACUCAGCGGCGCUGAGUGAGCAUCUGCUAUAUGGUAGGUACUGGGCCCAGCACCAGGGGUGCAGAGGUGAAUGACAUAUAGUCCCUGUUCUCAAGGUUACAGUCUAAAUGUAUCCGGACUUUGAGUGGAAUAAAUGCCAUGAAGAGGCAUGACAUGCAUGGGCAGAGAGAGAAGGACCACGUGGCUGGAAAUCCGGAUGCUUUCUGAAGAAGGUGGCAAUUACAAGUUAAAACA